Molecule: long non-coding RNA, 1251 nt
Organism: Alligator mississippiensis (American alligator)
Lineage: Eukaryota; Metazoa; Chordata; Crocodylia; Alligatoridae
Exons: 2
Source: RefSeq, a predicted model, not a curated record
AGGGUAUAUCAGCAACAAGAGGGGGAUCAGGGAAAGUGUGAGUCCCUUACUGAAUGGGGGAGGCAACCUGGUGACAGAUGAGGAGGAAAAGCCUGAAGUACUCAAUGCCUUUUUCACUUCAGUCUUCAUAAAGAAGGUCAGCUCCCAGACUACUGCACCUGGCAGCACAGUCUGGGGAGGAGGUGAGCAGUCAACAGUGAUGAAAGAAAAGGACAGGGACUAUUUAGAAAAGCUGGAUGUGUACAAGUCCACGGGGCCAGAUGCAAUGCACCCAAGGCUGCUGAGGGAGUUGGUCAAUGUGACUGCAGAGCUGCUGGCCACUAUCUUUGAAAACUCAGGGCAAUUGGGAGAGGUCCUGGAUGACUAGAAAAGGACAAAUAUAGCGCCCGUCUUUAAGAAAGGGAAGGAGGAUCCAGGGAACUACAGACCAGUCAACUUCACUUCAGCCCCUGGAAAAAUCAUGGGGCAGAUCUUCAAAAAAUCCAUUUCUAAACACUUGGAGGGGAAGAAGGUGAUUAGGAACAGUCAGCAUGGAUUCACCAGGGGCAAGUCAUGCCUGACCAACACGAUUGCCUUAUAUCACGAUGAAGUACCUUGAUGAGGUGACUGGUUCUGUGGAUCCAGGGAUCACAGUGGAUGUGAUAUAACUUGACUUUAGCAAGGCUUUUGAUACAGUUUCCCACAACAUUCUUGCAAGCUAUCUACGGAAGUGUGGGUUGGAUGAAUGGACUGUAAGAUGGAUACAAAACUGGCUGGAUCAUCAGGCUCAAAGGGUAGUUAAUCAAUGGCUCGAUGUCUAGUUGGCAGCUGGUAUCAAGUGGAGUGCCCCAGGGGUCAGUCCUGGGGCCACUUUUGUUCAGUAUCUUCAUCAAUGACCUGGAAGAUGAGAUGGAGAGAGCACCCUCAGCAAGUCUACAGAUGAUACCAAGCUAGGGGAACAGUAGAAAUGCUGGAGGAGGAGACAUCGGGGGAUUCCACUGCCCAUCGUCAUGACCCAUAUCACUUACGGCUACAGACACAUCUUUGAGGUCUGAACCUGGAAGAGUGCAGGGCAGCUAGCUAAUCCUCUCUAAUGACUGAGCUAGGCUGCCAGUUAGCAGGGGCAAGGGUUUGGUUUCUGUUUAAUGUCUAAGAGUUGUCAGCUGUGUCAUGCUCUACAUAAGUGGAGCACAGACAGGAAGUUGGGAUUUACAUCAGUACCUGGCUUACGCCAUUUUUCAAGCUGGAAUAAACUUCACUGGUUCAAAAAGC